UGGGGAAUAUUGCACAAUGGGCGCAAGCCUGAUGCAGCCAUGCCGCGUGUAUGAAGAAGGCCUUCGGGUUGUAAAGUACUUUCAGUCGGGAGGAAGGUGGUAAGGUUAAUAACCUUAUCAAUUGACGUUACCGACAGAAGAAGCACCGGCUAACUCCGUGCCAGCAGCCGCGGUAAUACGGAGGGUGCAAGCGUUAAUCGGAAUUACUGGGCGUAAAGCGCACGCAGGCGGUUGAUUGAGUCAGAUGUGAAAUCCCCGGGCUUAACCCGGGAAUUGCAUCUGAUACUGGUCAGCUAGAGUCUUGUAGAGGGGGGUAGAAUUCCAGGUGUAGCGGUGAAAUGCGUAGAGAUCUGGAGGACUACCGGUGGCGAAGGCGGCCCCCUGGACAAAGACUGACGCUCAGGUGCGAAAGCGUGGGGAGCAAACAGG
This 429-nucleotide ribosomal RNA is filed under the name Chloroflexota bacterium. RNAcentral describes it as "Chloroflexi bacterium partial 16S ribosomal RNA". It matches the Rfam family "Bacterial small subunit ribosomal RNA", at positions 355 to 776 of the family's 1533-position model. Lineage: Bacteria; Bacillati; Chloroflexota. The record is from RNAcentral.